Molecule: long non-coding RNA, 248 nt
Filed under: Lathyrus oleraceus (garden pea)
Lineage: Eukaryota; Viridiplantae; Streptophyta; Magnoliopsida; Fabales; Fabaceae
Description: Pisum sativum (pea) long non-coding RNA (PSAT_LNC017758)
Source: RNAcentral
UAGAACUUACCCUCGAUAUGAAGAGUGGCUUCAAGGAAGAGUCGAAGAGUUUGGUCUGCCGUUCCCUAUUGAAGAACCUUUGUAUCCACCUACUCUUGAGCAGUCAACAAUGGUGAGCCGAGAGGAUUACAACAAGUUGAAGAGUGCCAUGGAGGGACUUCAAACCAAGAACUCAGAGUUAAGUGAGAAGUUGCAAGACUGUAUGCAUCAAUUCCAGGAGGCAGAAUACCAGAAGGGGGAAGCCGUCA